Molecule: ribosomal RNA, 449 nt
Filed under: uncultured bacterium
Lineage: Bacteria
Description: partial 16S ribosomal RNA
Rfam family: Bacterial small subunit ribosomal RNA
Source: RNAcentral
AACGAACGCUGGCGGCAUGCCUAACACAUGCAAGUCGAACGAGACCUUCGGGUCUAGUGGCGCACGGGUGCGUAACGCGUGGGAAUCUGCCCUUGGGUUCGGAAUAACAGUUGGAAACGACUGCUAAUACCGGAUGAUGACUUCGGUCCAAAGAUUUAUCGCCCAGGGAUGAGCCCGCGUAGGAUUAGCUUGUUGGUGAGGUAAAGGCUCACCAAGGCGACGAUCCUUAGCUGGUCUGAGAGGAUGAUCAGCCACACUGGGACUGAGACACGGCCCAGACUCCUACGGGAGGCAGCAGUGGGGAAUAUUGGACAAUGGGCGAAAGCCUGAUCCAGCAAUGCCGCGUGAGUGAUGAAGGCCUUAGGGUUGUAAAGCUCUUUUACCCGGGAUGAUAAUGACAGUACCGGGAGAAUAAGCCCCGGCUAACUCCGUGCCAGCAGCCGCAGUAA